AGAGACAGCUGUCCUGGAUAAAGUGGCGCUUGCAGAGUCAAGGAAACUUCUUUUGAGCUAUCUACAGCUUUUAACAAUUGAGUAAGGUAUACUCCUGUGAAGAAAAUUUGGAGCAUAUUUCUCUCUGCCUGGUUUCUCUAGAAUUUGGAAACUAUUUGCAAAUAUUCUUAACUUAUGGCAAUAUAGUUAUUUGCAUCAGUGCAAUAAGAAUCUAUUUUCUUUUGCAGCAGGAUAUAACUGGAGAAACCGGUUAUUUUACCAAGGUUUUGACUGGAAUGGUAUGCUUUCCUUUAGGGAAUCAAGCUUGACUUGCAGAGCCAAUAAAAUCCCCUUGGGAAAACUGGCCUCAUACCUUGUCUACACAGUCCCUGGACAGGGUUCCUAACCUGUGGUGAGUAGAGAAUGUCAUUUUCUAACAGGCCCAAGAGCCCUGUGUUAUCUGGGACCUCAAGAAAAGAAGAAUUUACCCAACUCAUAGGUAUUUGAGGGUACAAACCCAUGGCUGAGCUCAGCUUUAAAAGGUCCUACCUGAGAUUCCUUGUGAAACAGAGUUCCAUCAAAGCCAAUUUUAAAAGCCUAUGUGAAAAUGAUUAUUCUUGCUGCACUUUAUGCAAAUGACCAGGCCAAGUAUAAGACUAAAGUUUAUUUUGCAAACAACUCAGUCCUAUCAUGGUUUAUUUUUAACAGAAAUGAGGACUGGAGAGAGAAAAAUUAUGUUUCAAAAUUUAUCAUACACUUGUCAUUAAAUUCUAGUUUCAGUUGUUUUUAAGCUUUUGCCUACAUUUUAGAUUAAUCCUGCUUAUUCCUGUGAACCAACUAGUGAUCUCUGGUUGUAGCUCAGAAGAAAUAGAGGGGAUGGGUAAUGUAAAAAUAUGAAUCAAUAUUCUAGUUCUGGGCAAUUAUCCUGCAGCUGAUAGGAGUAAAUAGGAUGUGGUGCUCAUAAUCUGGAGGUUUUUUUGGGAAAAUGAAAACAAGGGAGCAAACCAAAGCCAAGCACCAUGCAUCCAAAUCUUAGCAGGCAUAACUAUAGCCACUAGUUAUCUGGGCAUGUCAGCAGACUUGGGAUUUUUGAGCUGUCUUUACCUCCUUGUUGUUCCAUUUUGAUCCAUGUCAUCUAAUAACCCAAACUGUUUCUUCUCACUUAGAGGCCAUCAAAUUCCGAACAGAGCCUUGAAUGAUGGCUCCCUUUAACCUGGGACGCUUAGAUAGGCCUCUGAGGGAGCUCUGAUUGCUGUUUGCUCAAAACAGCAUCCCCUGUCAGCAGGAAGUAGUUAAGAUUGUCUUUGUCCCUAUUCUAACAACAGGUAGUUGUACCUCUUCAGAGGGGGAAAUGAGAGGGACAGGAGGCAGCCAAAUGCCUAGGCAAAUAGGGACUGGUCCCUGGUGAAACCCCACUUCCAAGCCAAAGCCAGUUUAAAGCCUGAAAGCCAAGCUACAAGCUAAAUCCUCAGACCAGAUUGAAGACUUGUCUUCCCAUUUGUUGUGCUUUCCUCUGAUUGAUCCCCACCCUUCACCUAUUUUACAUAUACUUACCCUUUCCUAAUUGGUUUUCUACACUGUCAUGCCCAUCUUUGAGUGAUGUCUUCACUUUAACCUGUUUUGCAUACUCACAAACCAAUCAGCAUGCACUCCCCGUCCUGUGCAUAUAAAGGCCCCAGACUCAGUCAGUAGAUGGGAAGAUGGCUGGACUUCGAGGAGACAACCGGACUUUGAGGAAGAGAUGGCUGGACUACAGAAGAGAUGGCCUGACUUCGGGGGAAGAUGACUGGCCCUUCCUGUUUCCUCUCCAGCUCCCCUUUCUGCUGAGAGCUGUUUUCAUUGCUUAAUAAAAUUC
RNAcentral lists this long non-coding RNA (1834 nucleotides) under Homo sapiens (human). Its description in RNAcentral is "HSALNT0363671". Lineage: Eukaryota; Metazoa; Chordata; Mammalia; Primates; Hominidae. The record is from RNAcentral.